Molecule: ribosomal RNA, 230 nt
Filed under: uncultured bacterium
Lineage: Bacteria
Description: partial 16S ribosomal RNA
Rfam family: Bacterial small subunit ribosomal RNA
Source: RNAcentral
AAAGCGUGCGCAGGCGGUUUUGUAAGACUGUCGUGAAAUCCCCGGGCUCAACCUGGGAAUGGCGAUGGUGACUGCAAGGCUAGAGUUUGGCAGAGGGGGAUGGAAUUCCGCGUGUAGCAGUGAAAUGCGUAGAUAUGCGGAGGAACACCGAUGGCGAAGGCAAUCCCCUGGGCCUGUACUGACGCUCAUGCACGAAAGCGUGGGGAGCAAACAGGAUUAGAUACCCGAGU